UACGAAGGGGGCUAGCGUUGUUCGGAAUUACUGGGCGUAAAGAGCACGUAGGCGGCGCGUUUAGUCAGAGGUGAAAGCCCAGGGCUCAACCCUGGAAUUGCCUUCGAUACUGGGAGUCUUGAGUUCGGAAGAGGUUGGUGGAACUGCGAGUGUAGAGGUGAAAUUCGUAGAUAUUCGCAAGAACACCGGUGGCGAAGGCGGCCAACUGGUCCGAAACUGACGCUGAGGCGCGAAAGCGUGGGGAGCAAACAGGAUUAGAUACCCGAA
This 267-nucleotide ribosomal RNA is filed under the name uncultured bacterium. RNAcentral's name for it is "partial 16S ribosomal RNA". It matches the Rfam family "Bacterial small subunit ribosomal RNA", at positions 524 to 790 of the family's 1533-position model. The record is from RNAcentral.